Molecule: long non-coding RNA, 782 nt
Organism: Hyaena hyaena (striped hyena)
Lineage: Eukaryota; Metazoa; Chordata; Mammalia; Carnivora; Hyaenidae
Exons: 3
Source: RefSeq, a predicted model, not a curated record
CAUCCUGCCCAGCAAGCAGAGGUUUCCCCUUACUGGGCUUUUGGGGGGCACUUUUCACUUCUAAUGUGCUCGAUUUUGCUUCGUUUUGUUCUGAGUUCUGGGUUCAUGUUGCCACGCAACCACUACGCAGCUGAGCCGUCUACAUCCUGACCUGUAGGAUCACGAGGAACGUUACUCAGCCGUGGGAAGGAACGGAGCUCCGACCCCUGCUACGACACGGAUGGACCUUGGAAACAUCACACAGGGAAAGAAGCCGGACCACAAGAGUCCACAUACUGUAGGAUUCCAUCGUAUGAAAUACUCAGAACAGAGUUUGUCUUCGACCUGGACACCUCUCGCCUUUGCUGCCACCACGCUGUCCUCUGGACCAUGGCAUCAGCCUCCUCACCCGUCUCCCUGCUGUCUCUUGUCCAUUCAGCUCUCAGAGAAUCCUUCUAAAACAUAAUGGAGAGCGUGCCUUCCUUACUCUCAUCCCUCUGCAGGCUUCCUAUCUUCUGUUUAGAAGACAAUUUAAAGGCCUUUCCACAUCUGCCAUGGUUCUUCCUGACCUAGCUCUCCCUGCCCUCACUCGGUACCCCAGCCACAUUGGCUGCUUUGUUGUUCCUGGAGCACCCAGUUCUCAGGUCGCUGGACCUUUGCGCAUGCUUUCCCUUCAUUCUAUUUCGCUCUUCACUCGGAUACCCGUAUUGCUCACUUUACCUGGGACCUGAUCACACCUCAUCUCCUUAGAGAGGUCUUUGUUGACCACCUUAUUUCAAAUAGCCUCUGGGCAUCUGGGUGGC